This 253-nucleotide ribosomal RNA is filed under the name uncultured bacterium. RNAcentral describes it as "partial 16S ribosomal RNA". It matches the Rfam family "Bacterial small subunit ribosomal RNA", at positions 524 to 776 of the family's 1533-position model. The record is from RNAcentral.
UACUGAGGGUGCAAGCGUUAAUCGGAAUUACUGGGCGUAAAGCGUGCGUAGGCGGCUUUGUAAGUCGGAUGUGAAAGCCCUGGGCUUAACCUGGGAACUGCAUUCGAUACUGCAAGGCUAGAAUUUAGCAGAGGCUAGUGGAAUUCCAGGUGUAGCGGUGAAAUGCGUAGAGAUCUGGAGGAACAUCAGUGGCGAAGGCGACUAGCUGGGCUAAAAUUGACGCUGAGGUACGAAAGCGUGGGGAGCAAACAGG